GAUGAACGCUGGCGGCGUGCCUAAUACAUGCAAGUCGAGCGAACAGACGAGGAGCUUGCUACUCUGAAGUUAGCGGCGGACGGGUGAGUAACACGUGGAUAACCUACCUAUAAGACUGGGAUAACUUCGGGAAACCGGAGCUAAUACCGGAUAAUAUUUUGAACCGCAUGGUCAAAUAGUGAAAGACGGUUUUGCUGUCACUUAUAGAUGGAUCCGCGCUGCAUUAGCUAGUUGGUAAGGUAACGGCUUACCAAGGCAACGAUGCGUAGCCGACCUGAGAGGGUGAUCGGCCACACUGGAACUGAGACACGGCCCAGACUCCUACGGGAGGCAGCAGUAGGGAAUCUGCCGCAAUGGGCGAAAACUUGACGGAGCAACGCCGCGUGAGUGAUGAAGGUCUUCGGAUCGUAAAACUCUGUUAUUAGGGAAGAACAUAUGUGUAAUUAACUGUGCACAUCUUGACGGUACCUAAUCAGAAAGCCACGGCUAACUACGUG
RNAcentral lists this ribosomal RNA (497 nucleotides) under uncultured bacterium. RNAcentral describes it as "partial 16S ribosomal RNA". It matches the Rfam family "Bacterial small subunit ribosomal RNA", at positions 28 to 507 of the family's 1533-position model. The record is from RNAcentral.